RNAcentral lists this long non-coding RNA (225 nucleotides) under Eucalyptus grandis. RNAcentral describes it as "long non-coding RNA (EGRA_LNC001445)". Lineage: Eukaryota; Viridiplantae; Streptophyta; Magnoliopsida; Myrtales; Myrtaceae. The record is from RNAcentral.
GUAAUAUAUGCAAACUGACUUCGCUAGAGGAGCUCUACGUUGGUUAUUGUGAGAAGCUUCAAGAAUUACCAGAACUGCCCUCCGGCUUAACCUAUCUGUCCUCCGGCUUAACCUAUCUGCCCUCCAGCUUAACCUAUCUGGUGAUCGCCUGGCAGGGGCAGUCUUUGCCCCAUCUUUCCCAGCUAACCCAUCUCAAGUAUCUAUGUCUUUCCCAUUGUCAUCGGC